ACGCUGGCGGCAGGCUUAACACAUGCAAGUCGAACGGUAACAGGGAUUAGCUUGCUAAUCUGCUGACGAGUGGCGGACGGGUGAGUAAUGCUUGGGAAUCUGGCUUACGGAGGGGGAUAACUACGGGAAACUGUAGCUAAUACCGCGUAAAAUCUUCGGAUUAAAGGGUGGGACUUUCGAGCCACCUGCCAUAAGAUGAGCCCAAGUGGGAUUAGGUAGUUGGUUAGGUAAAGGCUGACCAAGCCGACGAUCUCUAGCUGGUCUGAGAGGAUGACCAGCCACACUGGAACUGAGACACGGUCCAGACUCCUACGGGAGGCAGCAGUGGGGAAUAUUGCACAAUGGGGGGAACCCUGAUGCAGCCAUGCCGCGUGAAUGAAGAAGGCCUUCGGGUUGUAAAGUUCUUUCGGUGACGAGGAAGGUUGAUAGGUUAAUAGCCUAUCAAAUUGACGUUAAUCACAGAAGAAGCACCGGCUAACUCCGUGCCAGCAGCCGCGGUAAUACGGGGGGUGCGAGCGUUAAUCGGAAUAACUGGGCGUAAAGGGCACGCAGGCGGUGACUUAAGUGAGAUGUGAAAGCCCCGAGCUUAACUUGGGAAUUGCAUUUCAUACUGGGUCGCUAGAGUACUUUAGGGAGGGGUAGAAUUCCACGUGUAGCGGUGAAAUGCGUAGAGAUGUGGAGGAAUACCGAAGGCGAAGGCAGCCCCUUGGGAAUGUACUGACGCUCAUGUGCGAAAGCGUGGGGAGCAAACAGGAUUAGAUACCCUGGUAGUCCACGCUGUAAACGAUGUCGAUUUGGGGAUUGGGCUUUGAGCUUGGUGCCCGUAGCUAACGUGAUAAAUCGACCGCCUGGGGAGUACGGCCGCAAGGUUAAAACUCAAAUGAAUUGACGGGGGCCCGCACAAGCGG
This 908-nucleotide ribosomal RNA is filed under the name uncultured bacterium. RNAcentral describes it as "bacterial SSU rRNA". It matches the Rfam family "Bacterial small subunit ribosomal RNA", at positions 33 to 932 of the family's 1533-position model. The record is from RNAcentral.